RNAcentral lists this long non-coding RNA (286 nucleotides) under Chlamydomonas reinhardtii. RNAcentral's name for it is "long non-coding RNA (CREI_LNC000763)". Lineage: Eukaryota; Viridiplantae; Chlorophyta; Chlorophyceae; Chlamydomonadales; Chlamydomonadaceae. The record is from RNAcentral.
GAGAAGCCCGCGCUGAUCUACUCGAGCAUCGAGCUGGUCGUGUACAACACUGGUGCCACCCUCAUCCGCGUGCCCAUCGCCGCCAAUGUGACCCGCAGCCAGAUCAGGUGCCCUGGCUUCCUGACCUAUGGCACCACCCCCAUUGCCGGCUACCCCACUGGCAUCGACGCCACCACCUGGCCCAACUGGAAGAUUGCCGGCGUGCGCAUCAACAUGGGCGCGGGCAACAAGAAGCCCAAGACCUCGAUUGACGCGGUCGGCCUCAACCUGAAGUAAACAGCUUAGU